AUAUAAUAUAAUAUAAUAUAAUAUAAUAUAAUAACUAGAGUAGAUUAUAUAGAUCUAUAAUAAUUAAACCUCCUCUGCUUUCUCCGGUCUGUGUUUUCAGGCCCCUUAGACUUUUGUCUAGCAUUUUCCUUUUUUGAACAACUUUUGAGAACUGUCCUCCACUGUUUGUAACUUUUUUAUAAUGAAAGUUUCUUUCAUAAAAAAAUCAUAAUUAGAAAAACGUAUUACUUGAUUGGGUGAGAGAAAAAGACUAUAUAGGCAAGGUACUCACAUUUUUAUUUUAAAUCAUUUCAAAAAAAAAUUGUUAAUUUAGUUAUCUUAAGAUAAAAAUUAAUUAAAUUGAUCAUUCUACUAAUAAAUGGUAAUAAAAUAUUAAUGGUAUAUUUUCACAUUAAUCACUCUAAAAUUAAGAUAAAUUACUCUUUAGUCACUCUAUUUAAAGAUUAUUGCUACAUUGGUUUACCCAAUAUAUUUAAAAGUGGAUAACAUUUGACAUGUUAGUUUGAUAAUUUGACAACUUUUUUCUAUUUUAGCCCUUAUAAUGAUAUUAAACUAUAAUAUUGUAUUACGUUAUUACCUAAAUUUUUUUUAUAAAAAUUACAAAAUUUUAGUGAUGUCAUGACAUAAUAUUUAUCACAUAAAUCAAAGUUGAAAAAAUUGUCAAGUUUCAAGACUAAUGUGAAGAAAAGUAUAAAGACUAAAUUAAGAAUUAACAAAUUCAUAGAUUAAAUGUUGCUUUAUCCUAUAUAAAAAGAAUCUCAAUUCAAGGCUACAAUCAUUUAUAACUCUUUUUUUUAAAAAUUAUUUGAUAUAACUCAAUUUAGGGUGUGUUUGAUAAUAGAGGUGAUCAUGAGUCGUGACCAUGUAAAAAUUUAGGUCUAUUUGCUAGGUCCAGGCUCGACCUUAAAAUAUGGGCUUAAAAAUUUGUCCAAGCUCAACUGAGGUAAAAUUGCUAAAACUCGGGCCUGACUCUGCCCGCCCAUAUUAAAUUUUUUAUUUAUAUUAUUUUUUACAUAAUUUUUAAAUAUAUAUAAUACAUCAAAAAUACUAAAAACAUUAAAAUAAAUAUUUCGAAACAAAUUAAAAAUAAUUUUUAAAAAAUAUGUAUACUUAAAUAAUACUAAAAUAGAUGCAACUUAACAAGAAAAUGUCUCUAAAAUAAUAACAAAAUUAACAAUAAAACAAGUGUUAUACAAUAUCCAAACAAUAAUAAUAAAAUAAUAACAAUAUAAUAGUGAAAUGAUAGCAAAAUAGGGAUAAAACAACAAGAAAAUAUCAUUAAAAUAAAAAAAAUAGCAAUUUUUUUUGGCAUUUAGUGAAUUCAAACUAGGCCGGCUGGGCUCGGGCAAAAAAUGUCUUACCCAAGGCCCGACCCAUUUUUAAAACGGACUUUUUUUUUGCCUAAGUCCUCCCACUUUUUGAGUGGGCCUUUAGGGCGAGUCGGGUGGCCCAGCCCAUAAGCAGGUCUAUUUGAUAAACCAUUAAGUUUUUAUUUCAUUAAAAAUGAAUAUUCUCAACAUUAAGUUCUAUUUGGGCAACAUAAAGUAAUUGGAUGAAAAUUUAAUUACACUCUCUUAUAAUUAUAAAGAAUUGUAAUUCUCUAGACAUGUUUGACUAAUAGAGCACAAUUACAUCAUAAUUUAUAAGUCAUGUUUCGUGAUACAAGUUGUAAUUAAAAAAUAUUAAUUGCUAUAAAAAAUUGUCAGCACUAUAAAAGAAAUUUUAAAUGGGUAAGAGAAACUGAAAUCAAUCAUCAUAUGUAAUAUGUUAAUCUAAUAAAGUAUUCGAUAAUACAACUACUAAUAAAAAUAACAAGAAAAUAAACAUCAUAUGCAUUUUUAUCUAGUUAUCUAAUUGUCCUAGCAUUCCAUAUUUUACAUAAUUUUACCUAAAUACUAAUAUAAAUUAAAGUUAUUUUUUAUACAAUCUCUUUUGAUUUUGUCUCAUUUUUCUUUUGCUCCAUUGUUGCUCCUAAAUACCUAAUUAAAACCUAAAAAAAAACCCUUAAAAUUAACAAAUUUAUAAAUCUGGAAAAAUUAUUGGGUUGAUGACAUCAACUCCAAUGAUCUUACUCUUUGCAAUAGUGAUAAUACCAAUUUCAAGCUCUAGUGUUCUUGUGCCUUAAUUUGUAUGGAGCAAUAGUUAAAGUUCUUAUUAGACACCUAUUUUGGCAUGGGUUCAAACUAUGUUACCCCAUCCUAUACCUCUAAUAUUAUAUAAAAAAAAUCAUUUUUGGUGCAAAAAUCUAGAGUAUUUUUAUAAUUACUUUUUUAAAAUUUUUAUUUUUUAUAACUUAUAUUUACUUUUUUUUUUAGAAUUUUUAUAGUUAGGAUUAAGUGACAAUUGUUGUAAACAUAUGGCUGUUGAAAAUUUUAAAUUUAGGAUCAAAUUGAUAAAAUGUGUAAGUAUUGGAUGGCUAAAUUUAUUAUUAGAUUAUUAAAACAAAGCCACAUUAGACAUAUGUAACUAACAGAAGAGUGGCAAAAAUAUUUAAUUUCGAAAAGUUGCAUGGUUAAAAUGAAAAAAUUAAUAGUUGAGUGACCAAAAUAUAAUACACUAAAUAAUUAUGUGAAUAUUCUUAAAAUGUUUAUUAAUUUAGGUUUAAUAUAUUUUUGAUAACCAAAUUGUAAAAAUAUUCAGUAAUUAUUGGUCUAACCUAGAGGUGUGCAUGGGCCGGGCGGCCCGGCCGAAGGCCCGCCCGAAAAAUGGGAGGGUCUGGGUAAAAAUAUAGGCUCAAAAAAUGGGCUUGGACAAAAAACGAGGCCCGUUUAGAAAACGGGCUGGGCCUCGAGUAAGAUUUUUUGGGCCCGGUCCGGCCCGAUUUUAAUAUUAAAUUAUUUUUAAAAUUUUUUUAUUUUUAAUUUUAAGUAACUUUAGUACUUUUACUUUACUUUUUUUGUUGUUUUUAAUAUUAUUUUGAUAUUGUAAAACUUUUGUUAUUAAUAUAAUUUGGUUCUAAUUUGUUUCAAUUUUUCAAUUUUAAUAUAAUUACUUUUUAUUAUAUUUUUAAUUUAUGUAUUAUUUUAAGAGUUAUUUUAGUCCCAUUUUUUAUUUGUUUUUUGUUUUAAUAUUUGUUUUUAUGUUUUAAAUGUAUUUGAUUUGUUAUAUUUUAAAGUUUUUUAUUUAAUAAAAAAACAAUUUUUUUUAAUAUGGCCGGGCCGGGCCGGGCUCGGGCCUACUAUUUUUUCCUCGGGCCGGGCUUGGACAAAUUUCUAAGCCCAUAUUUCAGGCGAGGCCAGGACCAGGCCUUAAAAAUGGGCCAAAAAUUUUUUAUGGGCCUGGCCCAUGCACACCUCUAGUCUAACCAAAAUAAUUUAAGUGUUUCACAAAAAGGUAUAUUUUAAUUUAAAAUUUUAAUAAGAAAAAAGCUAGUUGAUAAUGAAAAAGGAAAGGACAAAAACGUUAAGUUAUAAUAAUAAGAAAAUCAUUUUUUAAUAAUAAAACACCAAAAAAAAAUUCACAAAAGAUAAUAAAAAAGGGAAAAACUAUAGUUAAAUAUUUUUUAAUAUUAUUUUAAAACAAUUUAUAAAAAUAAUUAAACAUUUUAGAAAGUUAAAAUGUUUUUAGUUCAAUCAUAGUACUUUGCACGUUGUAUCGAAAGUAUGUUAUUAAAAUUUUAUAAGAAGAACAUUUUUUAAAUAAAUAAAAAGAACAAAAGAAAAAAUUAAAUAUAAUUAGAAAAAUAUUUUUCUAGUAAAAAAGGAAAAAAAUAAAUAGAAUUCAUAAAAAUGAUACGAAAAGGGAUAAUCAAUUAAACACUUUAUAAUAUUAAUUUAAAAGAACUCAUAAAAAUAAUUAAAUAUUUUAAAAGAGUUCCUACCAAAAAAAAUAUAUUUUAGAGGGGUAAAAACAUUUUAUUUAAAUAUUUUAUAUGGGUAUUUUAGAAGAUUUUAUAUAUUGAUAUGGAUAUUAAAUAUUUUAGAAGAAUCUUUUUUAUUUUGAUAUGAAUAUUAAAUAUUUUAGAAGAAUCUUUUUUAUUUUUUAAUAUUUUUUGGAGUUGACAAUUUAUAUAUUGAUAGAUAUAUAAUCAUACACUAAAAAUCUAUCCUUGAUAAAGAAAUAAGUGACUAAUGGACGUAGUUAUUAUUACUACAUUGGAAAGUAUUUGGUGAAUUAUGGAACUUGUAAGACCAAUGUGUGAUGUGCUAAAGUGCUUAGGAGAUCCAACAUGUACAUACAUACAGCAUCACAAAAAAUUGAAGAAAUGAAGAAUGAGCUUCUUGCAAAACAACGCGAACUAAAUGCUAUCAAGAGAGAUGUGGAGCUGGGGAUAAAAGUAAAGCUUCGAUGGGGAAAACGUGUAAGGCAAGAAGUAGAGAACUGGCUUCCAGAUGUGCAAGCCAUCAAUGACAAAAUAUAGAACAUUGAUGAAAGAAUGCAAAAUGUAUCUUGUUUUUCUCGUGGACGCCUUGGGAAACAAGUUUCGCAAACAAUUGAAGAAGUGAAGGAAAUUAUUGGACGAGGCAGAUUCGGUGAAGCUCUAGUAAUUGAUGAUCCAUCUACUGCUGAAGUGCGUUUGCAAUUGGAACAUUUGGAAGGUCAAACCCUGGUGAAAGCAGACAUUUGGAAGCAUUUGAUGAGUAAUGAAAUUGGAAUGAUUGGAGUAUGUGGGAGGGGCGGGAUCGGGAAAACCACAAUCAUGAAGCACAUCCACACUCAACUAUUGGAGGAGAUUAAAUCUGAACCCUUGUUUGAGAAAAUCAUUUGGGUCACUGUUUCGAAGGAUUUUAGCAUCACCAAAAUACAGCAACAAAUUGCAGAUCGUAUGUACAUAUCUCUUCCAGAUCCUGAAGUAGAGUGUGCAACUGUUUUAGCGAAUGAAUUGGGACGAAACAGGCAUGUGUUGAUCUUAGAUGAUGUUUGGGAAGGGUUCGCUCUCAAGAAGGUAGGGAUCCCUAAACCAACAUCCAGCAAUGGGAGUAAGUUGGUAUUAACUAGUAGAUCGAAAGUGGUUUGUAGAUCUAUAGGCUGUGAGAUAGUCGAAGUGCCUCUUCUUCCCUACAAGGAGUCCAUGAAUUUAUUCUUGGCGCUUACCGAACGUGGGAUUCUAAAGGUUCCAUCUUUGGAAGAAAUUUUGGGCAAUAUUGUUGGAAAGUGCGAUGGGUUACCCCUUGCCAUACAAGUAAUAGCAGGGAGCAUGAAGGGAAUAUCUGAUAUUGUUGAAUGGAGGAACGCAUUAAGAGAGUUACGUGAACAUGUAAUAAGUGUGAAGGGUACAGAUGUUGAAAUAUAUGAGCUAUUAAAGUUUAGUUUCGAUCGUUUGGUAGACUUGAAAAUCCAAAAUUGUUUCCUUUAUUGCUCACUAUAUCCAGAAGACUAUAUAAUUCCAAAGAAGGAAUUAAUAGAAUACUGGAUAGAUGAAGAAUUUCUUGGAACUGGGAGUCGACAAGAGUUAUAUUAUAGGGGUCAUACUAUAUUAAAUAGGCUGGAAAAUAAAUGUUUGUUGGAAAAGCAUGAUAGAGAUACUGUGAAGAUGCAUGAUGUAAUGAGAGAUACAGCAUUAUAUAUCAAAAGUUCUGGCCCCCGUUUUAUGGUAAAAUCUGGCAUCGGACUAAAAGAACUACCAAGCAAGCAAGAAUGGGAAGAAGAUCUUGAAAAAGUUUCCUUCAUGAUGAAUAACGUAUCUGAGAUUCCUCUGCACUUAUCACCCAAUUGUGAGGUUCUUUCUACCUUAUUAUUGCAAAAGAAUGAAUACUUAGAAAGAAUUUCAGAAUCGUUCUUUCAGCAUAUGCAUAGACUCAGCAUGCUUGAUCUUUCUUAUACCAAUGUUGAGCAACUACCAAAUUCUGUGUCAAACUUGGAAAAGCUCAAAGCAUUGGUGCUUCGUGGAUGCUACAACUUGAGAUAUGUGCCUUCACUAGAAAAGCUUGAGGCUCUAAGAAAGUUGGACCUUUGAUAAUACUCUAAAAUGAUGUGUUUUUAUAUAUUAAUCAUGUGUUUAUUUUGAGCUUGAGCCUACUAAUUUGAGCUAUUUAUGUCUUUUUAUCUUUUAGGGACUAAAUUGGAGGCGAAAAGUAAAUUCAAGGGAAAAAGCGUCAAUUUGGAGAUUAAAUGGGCCAAUAUGCAACGUGGGACAAAUAUGGUGCCAAAAGUGCGAACAUGGAAGGCACAAGGACUUAAAAGCAAAUAGAAGAGAUUUUAUUUUGGAAGACUCUAUUUUAUUUUAUUCUAUUAGGAUAAUUAAUAUUAAGAUAAUUAUUAGGAUUAUUCAAAUUUAGGAUUUUAUUUUAAUUAUAUUUGUUUAUCUUUAAUUAAAUGUAUUUAUCUUUUUAGAAUUUAAGUUCAAUUAGACUAUCUCUCUAGCACUAUAAAUAGGGGGUGAAGUGACUUUAUUUGGGAGCAUCUUUUCUGUAAACACUCUCCCCCUAAAAGUCUUUUGUUCUUUCCAUAUUUUUUCUUUUAAUAAAAUUUCUUUUUCCAUAAUUUUAUUUUCUUUUCCACCAUUAUCAUGAGCCACUAAAACCCUUCUAGCCAAAAGUUGUCAAUAUUUCCCCAAAAAGGGUUCUUGAGGCCUAGAAUCCGUACUUAGCCUUUUCGCCAAGUAUUCAUUGUUUCUCCGCACUACGGGCUGACGCUUUCGUCCAUGGCCCUUAAGAAGUAAGCUUUUUAGCAUAUGCAAAGGCCGCUUUGUAUGUUUUGGAAGGAUUGCAUAGUCGGUUCGUUAACUUACUGCGUCAGAGGUUGGCGAGCCUGUAAUACCCUGAAAAUUUUUACAGUAAGAUAUUAUCCUUAAUAUAGUAAAAUAAGAAAAUAAAGUGACAAAAAGGGAAAUUUUGAGUUAUGUCAAUAUUGAGAAGUAUAUUAUGAUAUAUUAAUUCAAGAAAGGACUAAAUUGUAAAAGUGAGAAAAGUUUUGUUGCACAAGAGUAAAUAUUCAUAAUUUGAGGGGUUAAAGUGUAAAUAUGAAAAAGUUGAAGGACCAAUAGUGUAAAUAAUUUAAGAGUGGAAUGAUAUAGAAACUAAGGAAAAUGGAUGAAUUAGGACCAAAUUGAAUAGAUGAAGAACUAUGAGGGACUAAAUUAUAAUUUUACCAAAUUAAAUGAUGACUCAAGGAUGAAAUUUUAAAAGAUAAUGAAGGGCAAAAUGGUCAAUUGGAAGAGAGAGAAAUCUAGAAAGUAAUAAUGAUGCUAGAGAUGUUUUGAUAUUUUAUAAUUAUUUAAUUAGAUAAAUAUUAUUUUGUUAAUACUUUAAUAAGAUAUUUUAUUAUUAUUUUAUUAGUAUAUAAAGAAAGAAAGAUGAGAAAUUCUCAUCCAUAUUUUCCCAUGCACUAACGUGAGAGAAAGAGAGGAAGAAAGAAAGUUUUGCUUUCUUUACAAUUUGGUCCUUUUACCAAAAAUUCACCAUUUUCACCCAAAAAUCAAAUGAAUUUCCAUAGCUACCAAGAGACAAAAAUGUUAAGAAGAGCAUGGAAAGUUAGAAUAUCAAGUUGGAUUCAAGAAAUAGAAGCUGGAGGAGAGAGAAAAUCAAGUUAAAGAUUAGUAUCAAUAGAACAAGGUAAGUAUAUCAAGAUUUCAAUAUGUUUUUAAGUUUGUUAUUAUUGACAAAGCAUGGAAAUAAUGUUAUAGUAGAGUUUUAUUACAUAAGGUCCUAUGUUUUUGAUAUGUUAGUGAAGAGAAAAUAAGAGAAAGUGAUGAGAAAUGGUGUAGAAAAAGAAAAUAAGGGUGUUAUAACAUGGUAAUUAAUAGCUUGCACAAAAACAGUUUGGACAGCAGCAGUAGACUAACUUUGAAAAAUCACCAUAAAUUGUAGAAAUCGAAUUAGAAGAUGAAAAAAAUAUAUAAUUAAAUAUUAUUGAGUAUAGUUUCUCAUAGAAUAAAUAUUGUAAGCAAUGGAUUUGUAAAUUUUGAGAUAUAAUGAAUUUUGUGAGACAAGGUCAGAAUGAAUUCGGGUUCCCCUGUUCUAACUUUGAAAAAUCAUAAAAAAUUGAAUAAAAAUAAUUAUGGGCUUAAAUUAAUAUUUAUAAAAUCCUGAAUGAGUCUAUUUUUAAUAGAAACAAACAAGAACAUCAUUUGAAUCUUGUAUGAGGAGAUAAUUAAUUUUUGGUGAAGAGGGGCAGAACUAUCAGACAGAAGAACAGGGGUAACUUUAAAGAAUAAACUGUACUUAUUGGCUAAACCAAAAAUUCUGAAAUUUUUAUGGUAAGAAUAUAUAUGAGUCUAGAUUCAGGGAAAAUUAUUGGAUAUUAAUUUUUAGUUCUAUAGAUCUAGAUAUAAAUAAUUUAGUGACUAUGAUGCAGAUAGAUAGCUUGAAUAUUCAUAAAAGUAAAUAAUAAAAAUUAUGGAUAAUGUUACUUACAAGUGUGUUAUCUACAUUAAGGAUGUGGAAUGGAGAGAAGGAGGAGGAAAAAUAUGUAUGAAUAUUCAUCUAGCAUGGAAAAUUUGCAUAUUUUAGGCUCAGGGACUAAAUUGAAUAAAAGUAAAACUUUAUGGGCAAUUUUGUAAACAUGUCAGAAAUGACCAAAUUGCAUGAAAUGGAUUAUUUUAUUAUUUAAAUUACAAAAUUGAAUGAAAUUAUUAAUUUAGUUCAAGAUCGGGGGAAAAUAUGUUUUAGGGAUUAAAUUGAAAAGUGUUGAAAUUAUGAAAAAUUCUGAUAUUUUAUAGAAUUCAUGGAUUGUUAUCAAUAUAUAUGAGAAUAAUAGCUGGAAAUAAGGAUUAAAUUGCAAGAAUUUUAUUUUCCUGACCCUAAGGAUGAAAUCGUCAUUAAUUAAAAGUUUAGGGGCAAAAUGGUAAUUUUGCCUAGAGCAUUAAUUAGAUGCAUUAGAAUAUGAAAUGAAUGAAAAUGAUGAUCAAAAUUAUUUAUAAAGAUCUGGACGACUUAAAUAUGAGACUUGAUCGUGGAAAAGAAAAGAUAUCAGAUUAAUGAAAUUAUAAACACAAACAAGCAAUGAGGUAAGUUCGUGUAACUUGAAUUAUAUUCUUAAAUGCUUGAGAUUGUAUGUUAUUUAUGUGAAUAUGAUUUGAAUGUUCAUUGUAUGAAAAUUUAUGAAACAUUGAUAAAUUUGAUAAAAGGAGAAGAAAUCCCGGUUGAAUGAAAAGAAAAUUCGAUGGAUCUCUGAAAAGGAAUUGACGGUAAAAAGGAUCUAGCCCGGACGGGUGAUCCUAUCCUGAUAUAGCCCUCCCGAAGAAUAUGUGUAAAAUGGAUUUAGCCCGGACGGGUAAUCCAAAUUAGGGUCUAAAUUUAGCCUGGACUGGUAAUUCAGAUCCAAGCUCAUUAGAGUAAUUGUCGUUGCAGGGGAUUUAGCCUGGACUGGUAAUCCCGACAAUACUCUAUGAGUUUAUAUUACAGGGGAUUUAGCCUGGACUGGUAAUCCCACUGUAAGGAUGAGGUUCGCGGGAGUGUGCUCUCUGAUAUGAAAUGUGUAAGACCAUGGUUGAAAGAUACCAUGGCAACCUGAUAUGAAAUGUGUAAGACCAUGGUUGAAAGAUACCAUGGCAACCUGAUAUGAAAUGUGUAAGACCAUGGUUGAAAGAUACCAUGGCAACAUGUGUGUAAGACCAUGGUUGAAAGAUACCAUGGCAACCUGAUAUGAAAUGUGUAAGACCAUGGUUGAAAGAUACCAUGGCAACCUGAUAUGAGAUGUGUAAGACCAUGGUUGAAAGAUACCAUGGCAACGUGACAUGAAAAGAAUAAGACCAUGGUUGAAAGAUACCAUGGCAACAUGACAGAAAAUGAGUAAGACCAUAGUUGAAAGACACUAUGGCAUCACGUCAAAGAUAAAUAAGACUGUGGAUGGGAGACGCUAUAACAUCUGUUGAACAAUUGAUAUUCAGGUAAAAUGUAUCAGAUGACGAAUGGUUAUAUGAAAUGGUUGUGUGAAAUGUUUACAAGAACUGGUCAUAUGGAAAUAUAUGUACAAAAGUGUUGCAUGAAAUAAUUAUGAAAAUGGAUAAACGAAAUAAGUAUAAGUACAUGGAAUAUAAUUUAUGUUAAAUUUGAUAUAAGCUAUUACCAGAAUAAAUAUACAUAAAAUAUAUGGAAAUGAUGAAGCAUAAAAUAUUGAUAUAAUGAAAUGAAUGAUAUAUGCUUGUGAAGAAACGGUAAGAGCAUGAUAUGUUUCAUGACAUGUACAUAUAUGAUUAUCUUUGAUUUGUUGAUACAAGGAAAUUAUGUAAUUGAGACUAUUAUUAAACUCAAGUGCAACAUGUCGAGAAAAUAGAUAUAUCAAUGUUGAAUUUAUAUGAGAUAUGUGCAAGUAUACUAACAAUGUUGUUGUUUGAUGCUUAUACAAGUGCCAAACUGUUGAUUGAAUGGUAAUAUAUUUAUUUUAUAUGAUGCAUUGAAUCGGUAAGUAUUUUAAUUUUUUUAAGUGAUCUGCAAAUGGUAGUAAAGCUCUGAAACCCUGUUCUGGCAGCGGAUACGGGUUAGGGGUGUUACAGAGCCAAAGAGACAAAAUGGUGUGGGAUUCGCCAUUGAAAAACGUUGAUCUAGCAUAGAUUACUCGUUAGAGUCAGGUUCCCUAAAAAUCGUAAGUCUAAUCUUUGGAGCUGGUGGUCGUAGGUGUCCUCUUCCACUAUAACUAUCUUACUUGAGUCGAGAAGGAUCAUCCAAAAGCCAAGGAUUGAGCCCAAGGCGGAAUGAGACAACCGGAGGCUGGAACUUUCCCAUAAGAAUUUCUUUUCACUUAAAACUCUCUUUAUUAUUUUUAUUAUUUUCGUAAUCAUAAUUUCAGUAAACUUUAAAUUCUGUUUUUAUUUUAUUUCCGCUUCCAAAAUCAAUUCUUAAAUUCUGUUUUUUUAUUUUUUCCAGGAACGCAGGUUUUUUUGGGCACGAUUCUGCCGAGGAUUUCGAGAAACAAGUAUUCGUAUAAUUCGGUCCCUGAGGAUUCGACCCUACUUUCCCUUUACUGUUCUUUUUCUAUUAUUUUUAUUAUUUUACAGGGAAUAGGUUAUUUUUGGUGCUCUCAACGACCGCAUCAAAUUUUGGCGCCGUUGCCGAGGAUCGGCAACAUACUAAUCUUGUUUUUCUUUGUUUUUUAUGACCAGAUCUGCUCCAGGUACUCUUGCAUUCGACUCAGAAAUUGAAAAAACUGCGAAAGCUAAUCGAAAAGAAACAAAACUAAAGAAAAAGUAGUCAGCAGUGGUUGGAACUCAAAGCAAUCCACUGCCAGAAAUUAGAAUCGACAACGAAGUAGAGUCUAGGGUUAACGAAAACCCUACUCGAACGUUAGAAAGUAAAGAAGAAGAAGUCGAUUCACCUGAAGAGGUCCUUGACGCUAGGGUAGACGAAAACCCUAAUUUAGCACCUCAGCCUAUGGCUCAGACAAUUCGGCAACUGGCCGAAGCGCCGAUAGAACAAUCGCCACUAUGCAUCGCGUAUCCUACUAUGGAUACUGAUUUUGAAUUAAAGUUAGGCUUGAUUUUGCUACUGCCAACUUUCCGUGGGUUACAAAAUGAAAACCCCCACAAGCAUUUAAAAGAAUUCCAUAUGGUUUGUUUGAGUAUGAAACCUCAGGGGGUAACUGAGGAUCAAAUUAAAUUACGCGCUUUCCCUUUUUCCCUAGCAGAUUCAGCUAGGGAAUGGUUAUUUUAUUUACCUCCUGGAUCCAUUACAACUUGGGCUGAUCUAUCUCGUUUAUUUCUUAACAGGUUUUUCCCUGCAUCAUGAGCGGCUGAGUUAAGAAGAGAAAUCGUGGGAAUAAGGCAAAAAGACGCAGAGACUCUAUACGACUAUUGGGAGCGAUUUAAGAAGUUGUGUGCAAGUUGCCCACAACAUGGUAUAACAGAACAGUCUUUGCUCUAGUACUUUUAUGACGGCUUGAAACCCAUGGAGAUGAAUAUGGUAGAUGCCGCAAGUGGAGGAGCGUUAGUCAACAUGACUCCACAACAAGCAAAAGACUUAAUCUCCACAAUGGCUGCGAAUUCCCAGCAAUUUCGAGCCAAUCCUGAACCCCUUAGAAGGGUUCACCAGCUAAGUAAUUCUACCAUUGAAGAUAGACUUGCUAGACUUACUAAUAUUGUGAAUUCCUUUGUUACAGAAAAAUAGAAACCACCCCAAGUAUGUGGAAUAUGUGCUACACCUGAACAUACGACUAAUGCGUGCUCUAGUCUGUGUGACGAUUCUAUGGCCCAUUUAGAUGCUGUGGGAAAUUUUCCUGGGCCACCACAAAGACAAUACAACCCUUACGCCAAUACCUACAACCUAGGAUGGAGGGACCACCCUAAUUUUAGUUAUGGGGCUAAUCCACGAUAUAACCAGCCAUACCAAAAUUGGGCCCCACAACAGUCGCAAGAUUCAGGUAAUUCUCUAGAAACUUUGGUCAAUAAAUUAACAACUAAUGUCCUUGAUUUUCAACAGCAAACUCUCAAUUUCCGAAUAGAAAUGAAGGGUUUUCAGCAGAAAACCGAAACAUCCAUAAGGGAGUUGACCACAUCAAUUGAGAAAUUAAACUCUCAAGGGAAACUCCCAUCACAAACAAAACCAAACCCGAGGUAGAAUGCGAAUGCAGUAACGUUACGAAGCGGAAAGAUCUUGGAACCAGUUCCUGGCAAGAAUCUUGGUCAAGAAAUCGCCCAGGAAAUCCAAAAAAUGACGAACAAAUCCAAGCGAAAUCCCCACUGCCGAAAAUCCAACCUCCAUUCCCAGGACGAUUAAAUCAGUGUCGAAAAAGUAAUGAAGAUAAGGAGAUCCUCGAAACAUUCAGGAAUGUUGAGAUCAACUUACCAUUGUUAGAUGCCAUUAGACAGAUUCCGCGGUAUGCCAAGUUCCUCAAAGAACUUUGCACCAACAAACGAAAAUUAACAGGUAAUGAAAAGGUAAGUGUUAGUGAGAAUGUUUCCGCAGUUCUACAGCGAAAAAUGCCGGUUAAAUGCAAAGAUAGGGGUUUGUUCGCUAUUCCAUGCAAAAUUGGCCAUUUGGGAAUUAAGAAGGCUAUGUGUGAUCUGGGGGCGUCCAUAAAUGUAAUGCCUUAUUCUAUUUAUGAAUCACUUAACGCGGGUUUUUUGACAAAGACAGGUGUUACCAUUCAGUUGGCAGAUAGGUCCAUUGUGCAUCCCGAAGGGGUCCUCGAGGACGUAUUAGUCAAAGUCAAUGGGCUUAUCUUCCCUGCAGAUUUUUAUGUGAUAAAAAUGGAGGAGGAUAACACUCCUGAGUCUUCAGACAUCUUGUUGGGACGACCUUUCCUUAGUACUGCGAAUACUAAGAUUGAUGUACGAAGCGGAACCCUCACGAUGGAGUUUGAUGGGGAGAUCGUGAAGUUUAACAUUUAUGGCACUAUUAGUCAUCCAGGCGAAAUCUUGAGCGUAAACCGCAUCGACCUGAUUGACUCAUUAGUGGACGAGACUUUUGAGUCAACUUAUGAAGAUGAAUCUGAAUAUAGAUAUGAUGAUUUUGAAUCUGUUAAUAAAUUAUUGGCUCCUAUGGAUACUAAACUUCUACCUUCUGUUGUGCAGGCACCAGAUCCGAAAUUAAAACCACUUCUCGAGCGUUUCAAAUUCACAUUUUUGGAGAAUGAUGAGACCAUUGCUUACUUAAAAGGGAUCAACCCCUUAGAGGAAAGUAUGAAACUAAGGAAAGAGGCGCAAGGACGAUUAAACCCAAAUGUGGUGGAUGUGAUAAAAACGGAGAAUUUCCAAACCCAUAAAAAUGAAAGAAUUUAUUUGGAACAAUUUCAAUUCUAGUUGAAGCGUCAAGCUAGCGACGUUAAACAAGCGCUUGUUGGGAGGCAACCCAAUCUUUCUUUUUAUUUUUAUUUAUUAUUUUCCUUUCUUUUCUUUUAUUAUUUAUUAUUUUCUUUUAUUUUUAUUUUAUUUUAGUUAAAUAUUAAUAAAUUUCUCUUCUUCCAUCUAGGUGAAAUGGAGUGAAAAUACGAAGAAAAAAAAGACAGAAAGUGUGCACCAAAACAGCCCUAUCCAUGGUACCAAACAGUUCUAUUCCAGCCCAAAAUGCCUAUCCCUGCUGCCAAACAGUUCUAUUCCAGCCCAGAAUGCCAUAUCUCUGCAGCCAAACAGUCUAUUCCAGCCCUAGAAUCCCCAAAACCUGCAGCCAAACACCCCUUUUCAGCAAAUAAAACCCCCAAACCUUUCAUUUUUUUCCCCCAAAAUUUCUCCAUAACCGCCGACUCCUCUCUCCUCCACCACCCACCGCUGAUUUCUCAGCCACCAUGGUGAGAACCCGAAGCCGAACCGCCGUUGUACACGUCACCCACCCCGUCUCCACCUCUUGCCGCUUCGCCAUCUUCUUCUCCACCGUGUGCGCCAACCGACGGUAACUACAUGGGGAGUUUUUCUAAACUUUUUUUUCUCCACCUAUUUGUUUUCCUUUUACUUUCUCAUCGAGGACUAUGUGUUUUAAGUGGGGGAAGCAUUCUUCGUUGUUAUUAUCUGCUAUUUUUGCUGUCAUAUUUUUGUUGCUGCUGUUUUGUGCUCGUUUCUGCCCAUUUAUUUUAAGAAUAUCCUGCCGCUUUUCAUGCCCAAGAUUUUACCAGGAAUUGCCUACUGUUUGACCUACAAGCAUGAUUCUUACCUUCUAAGGAAGUUAUGAUUUUUCCCAUAAUUGAUGCCAUCUCCACUGUUUUAUUUUUAUUAGGCUAAAAAUAAUUGUGAUUAAUAAGGUUAAUUCUAUCUUGCUUUUCGUAAAAUUGAUCAAGUUUAAUAUAAAGUGAACACUUAAAAUGAUUGCAUGCUUAAUUAAUGUUCAUGGCUAUUAGGUGAUUAUUGAAACUUAUUUUUGACACUUAAAUUUUUUCUUUCCUGAGUUCUCAAGAAUUUUAAAUAUCAUUUAAUUUUUAAUAAAUGUUUUCCAUGGUUAUGAGUACAGCUUAGAUCGUGACUGACUGAGUAACCGGGGUAGGGUGCUUGGGUUGUCAUUCUACUUCGCGUCAAAAGGUUGUGUGACGUGACAAGUAAAACUCUGCUAGCCGAGGUUAUGAGUAUGGCUCAAAUCGUGACUGACUGAGUAACUGGGGUAGGGUGCUUGGGUUGUCAUUCUACUUCGCGUCAAAAGGUUGUGUGACGUGUUGGGUAAUACUCCGCUAACCGGAAAUAAAUAAUUUUAGGAGUAUAUUGGGCUGAGUAACCGGGGUAGGGUGCUUGGGUUGUCAUCUCUCUUCGCGUCAAAAGGUUUAAUAUAUUCCUAAGUAAAUAAAUAAUAAUAAAAUUUUAAAAAAAAGAAAAAAAAAAGAAAAAGAAAAAAAAGAAAAAGAAAAAAAGAAAAAAAGAAAAAAAGAAAAAAAAAGAAAAAAAAGUACUAAUAAAGUUGCACUUCAGGGACUAAAGGAGGAAAUAAUUAAGGUGUCUUAGUAGGUUUGGUAAUUUACCUAAAUAGCAUAACUCAAGUCGAUCUUAAUUUUUGUGUGAAUUAAUUGGAAUAUUUUUUCUGUUUUACUUAAAGCAAGCUUAGAGGUCUCUUUAUUUUUCAUAUGCAUUUUUAACUAAUUUUUAUGAAACUUUAGAGUGGUAUUUCUUUUAUGGCAGAAUCUAGCUUUCACAGUCGAUAGGAACCAUACUUGAGGGCAAGCAUGGACUAAGUAGGGGGAAUUUGAUAAUACUCUAAAAUGACGUGUUUUUAUAUAUUAAUCAUGUGUUUAUUUUGAGCUUGAGCCUACUAAUUUGAGCUAUUUAUGUCUUUUUAUCUUUUAGGGACUAAAUUGGAGGCGAAAAGUAAAUUCAAGGGAAAAAGCGUCAAUUUGGAGAUUAAAUGGGCCAAUAUGCAAUGUGGGACAAAUAUGGUGCCAAAAGUGCGAACAUGGAAGGCACAAGGACUUAAAAGCAAAUAGAAGAGAUUU
This 15720-nucleotide long non-coding RNA is filed under the name Gossypium barbadense (sea-island cotton). RNAcentral describes it as "long non-coding RNA (GBAR_LNC000081)". The record is from RNAcentral. Lineage: Eukaryota; Viridiplantae; Streptophyta; Magnoliopsida; Malvales; Malvaceae.